Molecule: non-coding RNA, 105 nt
Organism: Gossypium raimondii (Peruvian cotton)
Lineage: Eukaryota; Viridiplantae; Streptophyta; Magnoliopsida; Malvales; Malvaceae
Source: Rfam
UGUUAAAAAUUUUAACUAUUUCUACUGUUAAAAAUUGGUACGGCUACCUCAUUCUAACGUAUAAGGAUCAAUUUUUAACAGUAAAAAUGGAUGAAAUUUUUAACA